Molecule: ribosomal RNA, 522 nt
Filed under: uncultured bacterium
Lineage: Bacteria
Description: bacterial SSU rRNA
Rfam family: Bacterial small subunit ribosomal RNA
Source: RNAcentral
AGAGUUUGAUCCUGGCUUAGGAUGAACGCUGGCGGCGUGCUUAAUACAUGCAAGUCGAACGGAGUUGUGAUGUGAGCGAGAGAAAGCUUGCUUUUAAUCAAUCUUUUCAUAACUUAGUGGCGGACGGGUGAGUAACGCGUGGGUAACCUGCCCUGUACAGGGGGAUAACGGCUGGAAACGGCCGCUAAAACCGCAUAACGUCGGAAUACCGCAUGAUGUUCCGGCCAAAUAUUUAUAGGUACAGGAUGGGCCCGCGUCUGAUUAGUUAGAUGGUGAGGUAACGGCCCACCAUGGCGACGAUCAGUAGCCGUACUGAGAGGUAGAACGGCCACAUUGGGACUGAGACACGGCCCAAACUCCUACGGGAGGCAGCAGUAGGGAAUAUUGGUCAAUGGGGGAAACCCUGAACCAGCCGACGCCGCGUGAGUGAAGAAGUAUUUCGGUAUGUAAAGCUCUAUCAGCAGGGACGAUGAUGACGGUACCUGACUAAGAAGCCCCGGCUAACUACGUGCCAGCCGCGGC